CGGGGAGCACCACAACAGGUGGAGCCUGCGGUUUAAUCGGACUCAACGCCGGGAAACUCACCAGAUAAGACAGCUGAAUGAUAGUCGGGCUGAAGACUCUACUUGACUAGCUGAGAGGAGGUGCAUGGCCGUCGUCAGUUCGUACUGUGAAGCAUCCUGUUAAGUCAGGCAACGAGCGAGACCCACACCAACAGUUGCCAGCUCGUCCUCCGGGAUGGUGGGGACACUGUUGGGACCGCCUCUGCUAAAGAGGAGGAAGGAAUGGGCAACGGUAGGUCAGCAUGCCCCGAAUUAUCUGGGCUACACGCGGGCUACAAUGGGUGGGACAAUGGGUAUCGACACCGAAAGGUGAAGGCAAUCUCCUAAACCCAUCCGUAGUUCGGAUUGUGGGCUGCAACUCGCCCGCAUGAAGCUGGAAGCUGUAGUAAUCGUGUCUCAAAAUGGCACGGUGAAUAUGUCCCUGCUCCUU
This 469-nucleotide ribosomal RNA is filed under the name uncultured Methanomicrobiales archaeon. RNAcentral describes it as "bacterial SSU rRNA". It matches the Rfam family "Archaeal small subunit ribosomal RNA", at positions 871 to 1337 of the family's 1478-position model. The record is from RNAcentral. Lineage: Archaea; Methanobacteriati; Methanobacteriota; Methanomicrobia; Methanomicrobiales.